Molecule: non-coding RNA, 78 nt
Organism: Podarcis lilfordi (Lilford's wall lizard)
Lineage: Eukaryota; Metazoa; Chordata; Lepidosauria; Squamata; Lacertidae
Source: the annotation of a GenBank genome assembly
GGAGAAGGGCUAUAGUUUAGGGACAAAGCAUCUGCUUUGCAUGCAGAAAGGUCUCGGGUUCAAUCCCCAGUAUCUCCA